Long non-coding RNA from Panthera uncia (snow leopard), 959 nucleotides. RefSeq lists it as uncharacterized. The record is from RefSeq and is a predicted model, not a curated record. NCBI's taxonomy places the organism in Eukaryota, Metazoa, Chordata, Mammalia, Carnivora, Felidae. The transcript is spliced from 5 exons.
GGAAGCUGAAGCAGAUACAGUGGCUAUACAUCUUGGAAGAUGCUCAUUCCUGUCUCCCUACAACUAUGGCUCAGGAAGGUCCUGAGUCUCAUCUACUGAAAGGCCAGGAGUGUCAGAAUUCAUUUGCUGAAUAAAGAAAAGGAGUUUUACACUCUCAAAGAAGUAAUAAUGCUGCAAUAUGCCUCACUGGAAGCCUCACUCUAACAAACAAAGGAAAUACAGGUGUCAAACAUCAUCAAGAAGACUAAUUUAUUGACCAAUCAAUUGCCUUGGAUCUGGCAGGAGUGGUUUUCUCUGAGGGUCUGAGACCAACAGCAACCAGGAGCAGCUCAAACUGGAUUUCUUCUCAGCCCUGUACAUAAAGGACAUUCUUUCCUUGCUAUGGAAAAAAGCAGAUGCAAUUAGAACCUGCUAAGCUAAUAGCUAAAAUAAUGCUCUGACAGCAAACAGAAACAGAAAGCGAAAACUUGGAAUUUGCGGGCAUGGAAAAUACUGCAAGGGAAGGACAGUUGAAUGUGUUCCAGGAUCCUAGGGCAGCCCCUGGCAGCUGCCCAGAGCACAGCAGGUCACACUGCUCCUGUGCAAGGAAAGACCUUUUCUCUCACUGGAGCCCAGGCUGCUGGAAAGUGUCUCCUGAAACAACAGGACACAGGGAUAGCCCCACAACAACAUAGCUCACCUGCUGAAACAACCCCACUGAACUAGAUUCUGGAGCAUAGACAGGGAGAGGAGCUGCUAAGGGAGAUGUCACUGUGCAGGGAACACUCUACUUUCUGUCUCCUACAUGCUGGUGCCAAAGAAGAUGUGUGAGUCAUAAAUCAGAGGAAGGACGAUUACUAUGGCAUGAAUGAUGAAGUGAGCAGAAUGUCAUUGGAAUUGGGCCAUUUCUCCAAGCUCUAGGGCUAACGUGAUGCUAUUUGUUGCAUCAUUUAUUCACCUAAUAAAGUGUUCAACAAAUA